CAGUCGCGGUAAUACGUGGAAGACUAGUGUUAUUCAUCUUUAAUAGGUUUAAAGGGUACUUAGACGGUUGAUUAAGCCUCAAAAGGUACUAAUCAACUAGAGUUUUAUGCAAGAUGGGGAGUACUAAAGAGUGUAGAGAUGAAAUUCUGUCAUACCUGACUUGGAACAGACAACGGCGAAAGCAACCUUUUAUGUAAAAACUGAMGUUGAAAGACGAAGGCUUAWGACACCAACAGGAUUAGAUACCCCAGCAGUCUAAGCAGACAAUGAUGAAUGUCAUAGAUUAGAAUUAUAAUUUUGUCUAUAAAUGAAAGUGUAAGCAUUCCACCUCAAGAGWAAUGUGGCAACGCASGAACUGAAAUCAUUAGACCGUUUCUGAAACCAGUAGUGAAGUAUGUUGUUUAAUUUGUCGGUCCGCAAAACACCUUACCACAAUUUGAAUAGUUUUAUUUUAAAUACUUUGUUUAAAAUAAUAUUACAAGCGUUGCACGGSUGUUUUCAGUUAAUGUCGUGAGAUUUUGGUUAGNUCCAUAAAAUUAACGNAAACCCUUGCUUUAUUUAUCAAUAUAAAGUAGUUCUCCGCUAUAUUGGAUAUGAUAAAAGGGAAUAAGACAAGUCCAUCUGGCCUUAAUAUUGUGGGCUAUAMACGURCCACAU
RNAcentral lists this ribosomal RNA (657 nucleotides) under Trapeliopsis steppica. RNAcentral describes it as "SSU rRNA". It matches the Rfam family "Bacterial small subunit ribosomal RNA", at positions 512 to 1230 of the family's 1533-position model. The record is from RNAcentral. Lineage: Eukaryota; Fungi; Ascomycota; Lecanoromycetes; Trapeliales; Trapeliaceae.